RNAcentral lists this ribosomal RNA (280 nucleotides) under uncultured bacterium. RNAcentral's name for it is "partial 16S ribosomal RNA". It matches the Rfam family "Bacterial small subunit ribosomal RNA", at positions 506 to 784 of the family's 1533-position model. The record is from RNAcentral.
UGCCAGCCGCCGCGGUAAUACGUAGGGUCCAAGCGUUGUCCGGAUUUAUUGGGCGUAAAGAGCUCGUAGGCGGUUUGGUAAGUCGGGUGUGAAAACUCAGGGCUCAACCCUGAGACGCCACUCGAUACUGCCAUGACUAGAGUCCGGUAGGGGAGUGUGGAAUUCCUGGUGUAGCGGUGAAAUGCGCAGAUAUCAGGAGGAACACCAACAGCGAAGGCAGCACUCUGGGCCGGUACUGACGCUGAGGCGCGAAGGCGUGGGUAGCGAACGGGAUUAGAUA